UCUCUUAUUCUUUUCUAUUCUAAAACAUUUUUCUUACAUACAUUUUGCUGGAAUAUAUAUAUAUAUAUAUACUCAAAAUUAAAAUGUAUGUAUUUAUUAAUCUAAACAAAGUUAUAUGCUCGAAAUCAAAAUUUAUGUAUUGUUACGGAUCCGGCCCACGGAUCCUGGACCCAAGGUUAAACCCGAACCCGGUUCCUCGGGUCCGACCCAUCUCCUUCUUCCGGAAGGCCCGGAAACGGCCCUCUAGAACUCCUAACCGACUUUCGAAUUCAAACGUCUCCCUUAUCUUAGCCAAAUAAGAUAAGAUAAGAUAUUCACCAUCACCUAUAAAUAGAAAACCCAGGUCCCUCCAGGUAUUCAUUCAUUCCAUACACUUUACACCUCUCAGAUCCAUUCUGACUUGAGCGUCGGAGUGUCUUUGCAGAUACCUCCCCCCAUCGCUCCAGUCACGCGAUCCGGUCUUCACCUCGACCCGCAGGUUCCCGAUCCAUCCUUCAACCCGUACCAGAGACAUCUUGUACAUGUAUGUUAAGCUAAACAAAGUUAUACCACUAUUUUUUUAGGUUAACAUACAUAAAUUUUGAUUUCGAGCAUAUAACUUUGUUUAGGUUAAUAAAUACAUACAUUUCAAUUUUGAGUAUAUA
RNAcentral lists this long non-coding RNA (644 nucleotides) under Arachis ipaensis. Its description in RNAcentral is "long non-coding RNA (AIPA_LNC001567)". Lineage: Eukaryota; Viridiplantae; Streptophyta; Magnoliopsida; Fabales; Fabaceae. The record is from RNAcentral.